This 213-nucleotide unclassified non-coding RNA is filed under the name plant metagenome. Its description in RNAcentral is "partial contains small subunit ribosomal RNA, internal transcribed spacer 1, and 5.8S ribosomal RNA". The record is from RNAcentral.
UUUCCGUAGGUGAACCUGCGGAAGGAUCAUUCAUAGUAAGUGUUUUAUGGCACUUUUUUAAAUCCAUAUCCACCUUGUGUGCAAUGUCAGGGUUGAUUUUUCUUUCGAGAGGAUCAGCCCCAAACAUCAACUAUAUCUCAACUCUUUGUCUGAAAAAUAUUAUGAAUAAAACAAUUCAAAAUACAACUUUCAACAACGGAUCUCUUGGCUCUC